Molecule: non-coding RNA, 73 nt
Organism: Podarcis lilfordi (Lilford's wall lizard)
Lineage: Eukaryota; Metazoa; Chordata; Lepidosauria; Squamata; Lacertidae
Source: the annotation of a GenBank genome assembly
GCGUAAUAGCUCAGUCAGUAGAGCAUGAGACUCUUAAAUCUCAGGUUUGUGGGUUCAAGCCUCAGGUUGGGCA